ACUAUGUGGUGUUCGUGCAGGUUUCUUUUUCUUCUUAUUUCUAACGUGCGGGCCCCACUGCCACAUCAUCGUCAUCAAGCUUGAGCAACGAACGGACACACCGCAGGACUGUGUACCUUUUCAGUUUCCCAUCCCAAAUUGAUUUCCGGUGAUUUAAGCCACCAUUUGAUGAACCGUUUCUUCCUAUUUAAGCUCCACAUCCUCCUCUUCAUUUCCCCUCAAACCACACAGACCGAGAGCCUCCAGGCUGCUCGAAUUUGGCCUCGCAACUCCGCGGUACUGCCGCAGUAUAUCGUCGAAUUCGCGACGGUGCCAUCUUCGUCUGUGAGCACGUCCGCGAGGCAGUUUCCGGCGAGCGAUUCCGGACGAACCCGUCGAUCUCCACGUUCCCGUCUUCGCCGAUUUAUAUUUGUCAAAUCAAGCGCCGUUGCCUGCUUCAACAUCGCCGGGGAAUCAUCCUCGAAGAGGCGCGGUUGUAUUCCAGCAAUCCCCAUCUCCUAUUGUGGUUGUGUUGAUUGCAACGAGUGUUUCCGCGAAGAGUGUACCAACUAGUCCUCUCACCAAGGC
Molecule: non-coding RNA, 567 nt
Organism: Lolium perenne
Lineage: Eukaryota; Viridiplantae; Streptophyta; Magnoliopsida; Poales; Poaceae
Source: RefSeq, a predicted model, not a curated record